RNAcentral lists this ribosomal RNA (236 nucleotides) under uncultured bacterium. RNAcentral describes it as "partial 16S ribosomal RNA". It matches the Rfam family "Bacterial small subunit ribosomal RNA", at positions 524 to 753 of the family's 1533-position model. The record is from RNAcentral.
UACGUAGGGUGCAAGCGUUGUCCGGAAUUACUGGGCGUAAAGAGCUCGUAGGUGGUUUGUCGCGUCGUCUGUGAAAGCCGGGGCUUAACUCCGGGUCUGCAGGCGAUACGGGCAUAACUAGAGUGCUGUAGGGGAGACUGGAAUUGCCUGGUGGUAGCGGUGAAAUGCGCAGAUAUCAGGAGGAACCACCGAUGGCGGAAGGCCAGGUCUCUGGGCAGUAACUGGACGCUGAGGAG